UACGUAGGAGGCAAGCGUUGUCCGGAAUCAUUGGGCGUAAAGCGCGUGUAGGCGGCUUGGUAAGUCUGCUCUGAAAGCCCGGGGCUCAACCCCGGGAGGCGGGUGGAUACUGUCAAGCUCGAGUCCGGAAGAGGAGUGUGGAAUUCCUGGUGUAGCGGUGGAAUGCGCAGAUAUCAGGAGGAACACCGGUGGCGAAGGCGGAUCUCUGGGCCAUAACUGACGCUGAGGAGCGAAAGCAUGGGGAGCGAACAGG
Molecule: ribosomal RNA, 253 nt
Filed under: uncultured bacterium
Lineage: Bacteria
Description: partial 16S ribosomal RNA
Rfam family: Bacterial small subunit ribosomal RNA
Source: RNAcentral